Molecule: ribosomal RNA, 215 nt
Filed under: Campeiostachys nutans
Lineage: Eukaryota; Viridiplantae; Streptophyta; Magnoliopsida; Poales; Poaceae
Description: Elymus nutans partial small subunit ribosomal RNA
Rfam family: Eukaryotic small subunit ribosomal RNA (bases 38-215)
Source: RNAcentral
AGAUCAAAUUGUUGGUCGUGCCUUGGUACACACUGGCAUUAUUGGUUUCUCCCUUCUGACGAACCAUGAUAUCAUUAAUUUGGUGUCAUGGGGAAUCAGGACUGUUACUUUGAAAAAAUUAGAGUGUUUAAAGCAGGCUCGCGCUUGAAUACAUUAGCAUGGAAUAAUGAAAUAGGACGUUUGAUUCUAUUUUGUUGGUUUCUAGAAUUGACGUA